CCUACGGGUGGCUGCAGUGGGGAAUAUUGGACAAUGGGGGCAACCCUGAUCCAGCCAUGCCGCGUGUGUGAAGAAGGCCCUCGGGUUGUAAAGCACUUUCAGUGAGGAAGAACGCCUGGUGGUUAAUACCCAUCAGGAAAGACAUCACUCACAGAAGAAGCACCGGCUAACUCCGUGCCAGCAGCCGCGGUAAUACGGAGGGUGCGAGCGUUAAUCGGAAUUACUGGGCGUAAAGCGCGCGUAGGUGGCUUGAUAAGCCGGUUGUGAAACCCCCGGGCUCAACCUGGGAACGGCAUCCGGAACUGUCAAGCUAGAGUGCAGGAGAGGAAGGUAGAAUUCCCGGUGUAGCGGUGAAAUGCGUAGAGAUCGGGAGGAAUACCAGUGGCGAAGGCGGCCUUCUGGACUGACACUGACACUGAGGUGCGAAAGCGUGGGUAGCAAACAGGAUUAGAUACCCCUGUAGUC
RNAcentral lists this ribosomal RNA (465 nucleotides) under Vreelandella stevensii. RNAcentral's name for it is "partial 16S ribosomal RNA". It matches the Rfam family "Bacterial small subunit ribosomal RNA", at positions 338 to 795 of the family's 1533-position model. The record is from RNAcentral. Lineage: Bacteria; Pseudomonadati; Pseudomonadota; Gammaproteobacteria; Oceanospirillales; Halomonadaceae.